ACGAACAGUUGGAAACGACUGCUAAUACCGCAUACGAUCUAAUCUCGGCAUCGAGGAUAGAUGAAAGGUGGCCUCUACAUGUAAGCUAUCACUGAAGGAGGGGAUUGCGUCUGAUUAGCUAGUUGGAGGGGUAACGGCCCACCAAGGCGAUGAUCAGUAGCCGGUCUGAGAGGAUGAACGGCCACAUUGGGACUGAGACAUGGCCCAG
Molecule: ribosomal RNA, 208 nt
Filed under: uncultured bacterium
Lineage: Bacteria
Description: partial 16S ribosomal RNA
Rfam family: Bacterial small subunit ribosomal RNA
Source: RNAcentral